GUGUCAGCAGCCGCGGUAAGACAGAGGAGGCAAGCGUUGUUCGGAAUCAUUGGGCUUAAAGGGCGUGCAGGCGGCGGCGCAAGUGUCGAGUGAAAUCCCAUCGCUCAACGAUGGAACGGCUCGGCAAACUGCGUCGCUUGAGGUCGGUAGAGGUGCUCGGAACUCUAGGUGGAGCGGUGAAAUGCGUAGAUAUCUAGAGGAACGCCUGAGGCGAAAGCGGGGCACUGGGCCGAUUCUGACGCUGAGACGCGAAAGCGUGGGGAGCAAACAGGAUUAGAUACCCCCGUAGUCC
Molecule: ribosomal RNA, 292 nt
Filed under: uncultured bacterium
Lineage: Bacteria
Description: partial 16S ribosomal RNA
Rfam family: Bacterial small subunit ribosomal RNA
Source: RNAcentral